UCGGGGGACGAUAACGGCGUCGAGCGGCGGACGGGUGAGUAAUGCCUAGGAAAUUGCCCUGAUGUGGGGGAUAACCAUUGGAAACGAUGGCUAAUACCGCAUAAUGCCUACGGGCCAAAGAGGGGGACCUUCGGGCCUCUCGCGUCAGGAUAUGCCUAGGUGGGAUUAGCUAGUUGGUGAGGUAAUGGCUCACCAAGGCGACGAUCCCUAGCUGGUCUGAGAGGAUGAUCAGCCACACUGGAACUGAGACACGGUCCAGACUCCUACGGGAGGCAGCAGUGGGGAAUAUUGCACAAUGGGCGCAAGCCUGAUGCAGCCAUGCCGCGUGUGUGAAGAAGGCCUUCGGGUUGUAAAGCACUUUCAGUCGUGAGGAAGGUAGUGUAGUUAAUAGCUGCAUUAUUUGACGUUAGCGACAGAAGAAGCACCGGCUAACUCCGUGCCAGCAGCCGCGGUAAUACGGAGGGUGCGAGCGUUAAUCGGAAUUACUGGGCGUAAAGCGCAUGCAGGUGGUUUGUUAAGUCAGAUGUGAAAGCCCGGGGCUCAACCUCGGAAUAGCAUUUGAAACUGGCAGACUAGAGUACUGUAGAGGGGGGUAGAAUUUCAGGUGUAGCGGUGAAAUGCGUAGAGAUCUGAAGGAAUACCGGUGGCG
Molecule: ribosomal RNA, 649 nt
Filed under: Vibrio owensii
Lineage: Bacteria; Pseudomonadati; Pseudomonadota; Gammaproteobacteria; Vibrionales; Vibrionaceae
Description: bacterial SSU rRNA
Rfam family: Bacterial small subunit ribosomal RNA
Source: RNAcentral